CAGUCCGCGGUAAUACCGAGGGUGCGAGCGUUAAUCGGAUUUACUGGGCGUAAAGCGUGCGUAGGCGGCUUCUUAAGUCGGAUGUGAAAUCCCUGAGCUUAACUUAGGAAUUGCAUUCGAUACUGGGAAGCUAGAGUAUGGGAGAGGAUGGUAGAAUUCCAGGUGUAGCGGUGAAAUGCGUAGAGAUCUGGAGGAAUACCGAUGGCGAAGGCAGCCAUCUGGCCUAAUACUGACGCUGAGGUACGAAAGCAUGGGGAGCAAACAGGAUUAGAUACCCCCGUAGUCCCUGUCUCUUAUACAC
Molecule: ribosomal RNA, 301 nt
Filed under: uncultured bacterium
Lineage: Bacteria
Description: partial 16S ribosomal RNA
Rfam family: Bacterial small subunit ribosomal RNA
Source: RNAcentral